Molecule: long non-coding RNA, 380 nt
Organism: Panicum hallii
Lineage: Eukaryota; Viridiplantae; Streptophyta; Magnoliopsida; Poales; Poaceae
Exons: 2
Source: RefSeq, a predicted model, not a curated record
UCAGGGCAUUGCUGUGAUGAUGACGAUGGUCCUUACUACCCGUCAUCCCCACCGCCCUACGAAGAGGAGGACCACUGCUGUGGCUGCUGCGGCUGCCGCUGCUCUGGGUUCUUCAGAGGAUGUUUGGCCGCUCUCUGCUGCUGCUGCGUGCUGGAGGAAUGCUGCGGCUUCUUAUUCUGAGAUGUGUGAUCAAACUGGCAUCCAGUUCCAAGCUAUCGUUUUCAAAUUGAUGUAAUAAUAAGAGAAGAGUGUUGAUAAGCUUCCAGACAGUGUUUGUGUUUUUCAUAAAAAAAAAUAAAGGUGUAUAUGCGUACAAUUUGGACGCCAGAUCCUUCUGUCUUUCCAGCUUGAAUGUUUCAUAAUUAUUUCCCAACAUCAAA